Molecule: long non-coding RNA, 1074 nt
Filed under: Accipiter nisus (Eurasian sparrowhawk)
Lineage: Eukaryota; Metazoa; Chordata; Aves; Accipitriformes; Accipitridae
Description: lncRNA (ENSANIG00000004443.1)
Source: RNAcentral
AUGGGGCCCUGCCUUUAUGUGGCCCUGCGGGUCCUGCCAGCACCAAUAGCACCGUCUGUCCUUCCAGGUCACUACCUGUACCUGGAUGAGGAUGGACCACUGGAGGUGCUGGGGGGGCCGGGCCGCUGCCAGGACACCUAUCAGGACUGGAUCUCCCUCUACUGCUGGGCCCCCUUCCACGCUGCCCUCAUGGCCACCCCCGAGGGCAGCCGCUGCUGCUGGGACCAGAUCAGCAGCACCUACAGCGAGCUCUCCAGCUGCACCCAGCUGCUAGCCCAGCUGCUCUCCUGCCCCUGGCCCAGCGCCGUCCUCGACGCCUUCUUCCUGCAGGUCCACGCUGAAUACUUCACCAACUGCACCAGGGCCGGGCCCUCCAGGCUGGGAGGGCUGCCCCCCACGAUGGCUGUGGCUGUGGCCGUGGGGCUCAGCUGCCUCGUGCCCCUUGCAGCCGCCCUGACGCUCACCAGAGCCCGGAAAGGGGCUCAAACCCCAGCAGGCAGCUGCCCAGCCCCUGCCUGCCUCUGUGCCUGCGAGGGGCUGGCAACAGCCCCCUUCCCUCCCAGCCCUGGGAACUAAUGAGCAGGACGAGUGGGCCAAGUGUGAGGGGGACAGGGAAGAGUGGGGACAGGGCAGAGCAGGUAGGGGAGUCUGGGCAUCCCCGGGGAUGGAGCGGGUCCCGUGGCACCGGGGGAGGCUGGGCCCGGGGCUCCUGAUGCCUGCAUCUGCCCCAGGGCAGGGAACUUUGGGAGAAGGGUCCCAGGCGCUGCUGGGGUCCUGACCCUGCAUGGGCCAAGCCCCUUCCUUGGCACCCCCGGGUGGGGGCUGGCAGGGAGCACCGGCGAUGCCAGGCUGGGGGGGGUGGGAGCCCCAGGUCUUGGCUGGCAGCCAGCGUCUCAUCCCUGCCCGUCCUGUCCCUGCCCGUUCCCUCUGGACGCCCCAGGAGGGGGGCGGCCAUCGCAGGCCCAGGGCUGUGCUGAGAUCAUUGGGUGUCUCCCUGGCAGAGGCUGCUGCCGCCCGGCUGGAGGCUCCAGUGGCUCCUACAAAGAGCAGGACCAGGGGCUCCAACCCUUCUGC